This 253-nucleotide ribosomal RNA is filed under the name uncultured bacterium. Its description in RNAcentral is "partial 16S ribosomal RNA". It matches the Rfam family "Bacterial small subunit ribosomal RNA", at positions 524 to 776 of the family's 1533-position model. The record is from RNAcentral.
UACGGAGGGGGCUAGCGUUGUUCGGAAUUACUGGGCGUAAAGCGCACGUAGGCGGCUUUGUAAGUUAGAGGUGAAAGCCCGGGGCUCAACUCCGGAAUUGCCUUUAAGACUGCAUCGCUAGAAUUGUGGAGAGGUAAGUGGAAUUCCGAGUGUAGAGGUGAAAUUCGUAGAUAUUCGGAAGAACACCAGUGGCGAAGGCGGCGACCUGGUCCUUGACUGACGCUGAGGCGCGAAAGCGUGGGGAGCAAACAGG